UGCGGUAACGCGACCGAUCCCGGAGAAGCUGGCGGAGCACCGGGGAGAGUAAUCUUUUAUUUGUGACGUGCAGGGUGCCCUGGAAUAGGUUCGCCCCGAGAGAGGGGCCCAAGCCCUGGAAAGCGUUGCGGUUUCGGUGUCGUCCAGUGAGCUCUCCCUGGCCCUUGAAAAUCCAGGGGAGAG
RNAcentral lists this non-coding RNA (183 nucleotides) under Salmo salar (Atlantic salmon). RNAcentral's name for it is "Eukaryotic large subunit ribosomal RNA". It matches the Rfam family "Eukaryotic large subunit ribosomal RNA", at positions 1640 to 1823 of the family's 3401-position model. The record is from Rfam by way of RNAcentral. Lineage: Eukaryota; Metazoa; Chordata; Actinopteri; Salmoniformes; Salmonidae.